UGGGGAAUUUUGGACAAUGGGCGAAGGCUGAUCCAGCAAUGCCGCGUGUGUGAAGAAGGCCUUCGGGUUGUAAAGCACUUUUGUCCGGAAAGAAAUCCUUGGCUCUAAUACAGUCGGGGGAUGACGGUACCGGAAGAAUAAGCACCGGCUAACUACGUGCCAGCAGCCGCGGUAAUACGUAGGGUGCAAGCGUUAAUCGGAAUUACUGGGCGUAAAGCGUGCGCAGGCGGUUUGCUAAGACCGAUGUGAAAUCCCCGGGCUCAACCUGGGAACUGCAUUGGUGACUGGCAGGCUAGAGUAUGGCAGAGGGGGGUAGAAUUCCACGUGUGAGCAGUGAAAUGCGUAGAGAUGUGGAGGAAUACCGAUGGCGAAGGCAGCCCCC
Molecule: ribosomal RNA, 382 nt
Filed under: uncultured bacterium
Lineage: Bacteria
Description: partial 16S ribosomal RNA
Rfam family: Bacterial small subunit ribosomal RNA
Source: RNAcentral